ACAAGCCUGUAAUUUGUAUACUAUGUCAAGAUGUCCUCAUUUAAAAAAAAAAAAAAUCUAACAAGGAGGAUGAACAGUGUCCAUAUGACAUAAAUCUACUGAGACACAAAUCUUCGUGUCAGAAAAACAAAGGAGCAUCACUGCUGUCAUCUUUCUUCCUACCUAAGCACAUGCAAUGGGGUUUUUGCUUAAAAAAAUAAAAAUUAAAAAAAAGGCUG
This 218-nucleotide long non-coding RNA is filed under the name Anser brachyrhynchus (Pink-footed goose). RNAcentral's name for it is "lncRNA (ENSABRG00000001983.1)". The record is from RNAcentral. Lineage: Eukaryota; Metazoa; Chordata; Aves; Anseriformes; Anatidae.